This is a long non-coding RNA of Mauremys mutica (yellowpond turtle), 4663 nucleotides long. RefSeq lists it as uncharacterized. The transcript is spliced from 3 exons. The record is from RefSeq and is a predicted model, not a curated record. NCBI's taxonomy places the organism in Eukaryota, Metazoa, Chordata, Testudines, Geoemydidae.
ACUGAGAUAAAAUAGUGUUCUAGAGUUUAAAAAACACACGGAGGAUUGCCACCCUCAGGAGAUCACAAGUCACAAGACAAACCUCUAAUCAGAAAAAUCCGUUUUUAAUCCGUUUUUUUUUUUAAAUUCUUUGAUUUCUUAACUCCCCCUUUAUUCCUAUGCCAGUGUGUGAUACUGUCAGGUUGAAAAGUCAACCAGUAAUGCACACAAGAUGCAACCCUCUCCCUUGAUGCUCAGAUGGAGACUGCAGUUACUCUUUACAGCCCCUGAGAUAAGGGUCUUCACCCACAGAAACACCUCCCUGUCUCCUGCUGCCCUGGGACUUUUCCACCUGUGCCCCAUCAACACCAGCUCUCUGAAUCCCCCUGCUUUCCCAGGACUUCUCUGCCCAGGCUGAGUAACAUCACAUCACUGCUUCCCCUCACUCCAGGUCCCUCUCCCUGGGAUAGAGCCAUACAUGUAGGCAAGGCAGGUCUGUAGUAUGGUUAUUUUCAAAUAUCCUCAUUCCCAAGGCACUCACACAGAACUUUGCCAAUAUGCCAUUGCCCAGCCCUGAAAAAAAGUCACAGGCUCAGAGGAACUUCUCACAUCAUAGCAGAGUUCCUCCUGCAGGUGGCCAAAAAAAAAAAAAAAAUGCCCUAACUCAAGAGGAGUUUGCAAAAGUUGCCAUGACUCCAGGUUGCUCAGAGGGGCCUUCUCUUCCUCACCACUACCCCAGGCUAGGAGUGCUGCUGCCAUUCUUUCCCCCAUCACUUUACUCUGCACCCUUUCAGCCCCACAUCCCCAUGCAACCUAUAGAUCCACUUGCUGUUCUACCUUAUUCUCCCCAUUCACCUUUCACAGUGUUUCUGCUGCUCCUCAUAGUCCCUAUGUCCUGUCUAGCCCCCUAAACCAUAGAAUAGUAGCCUGCCGGGAUGGCUUCGUUCAAUCUCACUGAAAACAGUAGGAGAGGGCAGCCAACUUUAUAAAGGGCAGCUUCGCUACCACAUGCGGAGGAACUGUAGAGAAACAGUAGCCAUCUUGGUGGCUUCAGCUCCAUUGAGAAUAGUAGUAGUUGGUGGCCAUGUUGAAUAAGGAAAUUGAUGCAUGGGCACUAUUCAGUAUGUUUUCAUAGGACACAUUAAAAUAAAAAUACCACAAAAUCACUGCAACCAUGAUAAAAAUCAUGAGACAUAACAAUAUUGGAAAAGCCUUGUCUCCUGUCUCAAAAUAGUAAUUUUUCAGAAGUCUAUAUUGCAAAAGAAAUCUUAGAUGAACACUCAAUUGUGCACAAAUGUGGUCAAGAUUUUUCAGGAGUGAUUUUGCAUACCUUAGUUUUUGUAUAUUCUACUGGAUAUAUUAUAAACAGCUUUACUUGCAGGAAUUAUUGAGCACCUACAUUUUCAAAAUCAGGUCAUGUUAAGGUGUCUCAAAUUGAGCACUAAAAAUAAAGGCAAUAGUCUCAAUCUGUAGCUACCUCUGAAAGUUUUAGCUACAGUAUUGUAACAAGCAAGCUCAUCACCAAUUAGGCCUGGUUUCUCUUGAUUUUGUUAUCAUGCUCUUGUGUAGGGGACUGGAAGAAGGGGACUAACAAACUGUCAAGUAACCCAGUAAUUGGGACUGGGAAGUACUCAAUUUGUUUGUUACAUAGAAUAGAAGAAGGACACAAAGUGAAUAAUUAUAAGUAUAGGUAAACAAUUCUUCCUGUCUUUUUGGAGAAGGACACCAGAAUAAGCAUAAACCCCCCAAAACUAUUCAACCUGUAAAAGUCUUCAUCCUUUCUUCUUAUAUAGUCUUGAAUAUCUUUGUCUUCUUUGAUUGUAGCAAUAGCCAUUUCAGGAGGAUAUACUAACUCAAAUACACCUUUUAGCUAAAAUAAUAGGUAGAACAAGUCAGUAUUUAUCCCUUUUGUGGGCUUCCCUCCCCGCUAUAUAUGGUCACAAGACCAGUUUAUUGGGUGGAGUAAAUCAAUAGGUGUGGUUUUAUUGAAGGGGGUGCAGGUGGGGGAAGGCUCUAUAAAAUUUGAGCAGAAACAGUAUACAGAAAGUUAUGAGUAAAUAAGCAGAAACCUAGAAGAAAACAGCUACAAGUGUGUUAGCUACUAUUAUAGAAAGAAAAGAUCCUAAGAUACCAAACAAAAGAUCUAUGAAUGGGAAAAAUAAAUUCACAGAAGUAAUAUUACCAAAGAAGAAAACAAACCCAGGACACGAGCUUUAUGGCAAUUCAGGUCAGAACACAUUGUUGAAUUGCACUGGACCACAUCUCAGAAUUGUGCUGUGACUUAUUCUAGCCAAGCAGACACCUCCUCUAAACAGUAGAAGGCAAGCAGUUUAACUCUUCACUGCUACAGGGCUGCAUGUUUUGGCACCAGUUUUUAAAGAACAUCCAUUGAGAUCAAUAGCAUGCAAGGUCACACCUGGUAUGUCCUACUGCACUGGAGAGGACCACUAUGAACUACCUUGGCCUGUGGCUUUUUCAACCCCUUAGGAAAUAGUUUGUCAUUUUAUGCCAACAAUCCUGUCAAGAUUUGCCUAUAUACACAAACACACAAUAGUUAUAUGAUAGCCUUUAUAAAUAAGAACAGACUCAGUAUAAUAAUAUCUGUGUAAUAUAUGUCCUGUGCUGGGGAGCUCUAUUCUUCCCUUUUAUGGGAUGAAACUCAUGAUCUAAUAUGUCUUUCAUUCUUAAGUGCUAAAUUCUAUACAUGUAUUUUUUUCCCCACUGUCUGAGAAAAAAUUCAGAAUGAAACAUCUGUUAAAAAUUAACUUAGUCCCAGAUCUGUACAUUUUUCUAUCUAGUUACAUUUGGAAAAUCCUAAAUAAAGAAUAUUUUGAAAGAAAAGAAUUUAACUUUAUCCUGGGAACAUGCAGUUCAGGUUUUGAAAGGGGAAACAUGUAAUAAAGUCUGUUUUAAAUGAAACUGGUAAGGCAGUAAAAUACGUAAGUGGAAACUUUGAGGAAACUGGCAAUGAGAAACUGGAAAUCAAGCAGUAAUUUAAGUUUCACUCCACCACCCUUUGCAUGUGUGAGUACAAAGGAGAGACUGGGCAUGAGUGUGAGUCAGAGCCCUCCUCUCAGGAACCAGAGGGACAGAGAUUCCCAGCAUCUGUUUCCUUAACUAUCACCCAGAGGAUACUGGUGGUAAAUCACAGUGAGUAAAAAUAGAAUCAGAAGACUAGCUCAAAACAAAUGAAAUACUGUAUUAUUAUGCAGUAUAUUUAAGUGUAUCUGUAUGUAGCACUCUUGCUCAACCUUUAUCCAUUUACAAACUCUAUGUGUCAAAUCCAUUUUAUGUUCAAGCAGAUUGUUGUUAUUAAAACUGCAAAUGUGGACACUUAGGAUUUCCCAAAGAGAACAGUCUGCCAAAUCAGUUUAAUAGCUAGCAGAGUUAAAGAACUCAUAUCUUUUAAACAAGUAUUCUGAAAGAGUUGAUUUGGACAUGGAAGGCCAGAUCCUUUGGUGGUAUAAAUCACUAUGCCGAUUUGCACCAACUGUGAUUCUGGCCCAGAGAUUCCAAUGAAAGAGUGAAUUUGGAGUCAUGAUGUUUUACGUGGCCCACUGAUCUGAACAGAAAACUCCCAUGUCAUCAGUGCCAGAUAAAUCGGAAUACAGAUACUCACUUGCCUUGCAGUGCUGUAGUGUGAUUUAAUUAAAUUGCUGUGGGUUCCUCAGAUGGAAGGUACUACAGAGGUGCAAAGAAUUAUCAUCAUCCAUUAGAGUUUUGAGUGUGUACAUAGGUACCAAAUGUUUUAAAUAAUACCUUACUCACUUGUUAAACUCCUGACAUUUUACAAAAAUGUUAAAGGCCAGCUUGCUGAACAGGAUUCUUCUGUUCUUUAGCACACAGAACUGGAUGAGUUACUGUAAGCAAUACUGUAAUUAGCAAUGGUUCAUUCCUGAAUAUAAAGCAAUAAUGCUUCCAGGGCCUUUAGAUGAAAAGCUCAAGUGUUUAUAUUAGAAACAGGUAUGUAUGUUUAAAUAAACUAAAUUAGAUAUUUCUUGGACCUGGUUGCAUUUAUAAUAUUUUAUUAAAUUAUAGUUGCAGAUUUUCAACAAAUCCAGCAGCUUUAAUAAAUAAGAUUAGGUGGGGAAAGUUAACAGUAUGUAAUGGAAUUGAUCCACUAAAUUAGUAUUGACACCUUAGUGGCUACCUUUAAAUAUACGUUAUUAUCAAGAGAGAAUGUAACCUAUCUGCUUGUCUUUAAUAUGUUGCUUCUGCAUAUUUCAAGGAUACACUUUUUGUCUUGUUUAUUCAUCAUGAAAAGUCUUGGCAUUACUGCAUUAAUUUAGUUUUGUUUCCAAUUCAAGAUGUUUUAAGAAAAGCCAGUUCUAAAGAAAUCAUUUAUAAUUCAUUUAGAUAGGUCUAAAAAGACUCUUGGUGUUGAUGAAUGUGUUUUGUUAGAACAGUUACACUUUGCUGACAAAAACAUAAUAUUCAGAGACUAGAACAAUGAUAUAUGCAAUAAAUACAAUGAAAGAAUGAACUAGAAAUAGACAAAAAAAAAUCUGUCAAGCAAAAAAGAAGACAUCUUGCACUGAGGAUCGGAGGCAGCCAAUCUCUCAGUAUUAUUAUGUACAGUGAAUGUGAUUUAAAUCAGUAUGUACUAAUAGUGAAGUGGCAGAACAGAAAUAUGCUGCCAUAUUGAAAUUCAGAUUUAGAUUUAUUCAAAUUUACUUUAAUCCCA